Non-coding RNA from Salmo salar (Atlantic salmon), 300 nucleotides. The record is from RefSeq and is a predicted model, not a curated record. NCBI's taxonomy places the organism in Eukaryota, Metazoa, Chordata, Actinopteri, Salmoniformes, Salmonidae.
GCUUACCAUUCAUACUAGUCUAGAGUCUAGAAUAGAAUAGAAUCCAUUUUGGUAAUCCCCAAAUUACAAUAACCAGAGAGGAUUUAUCCGGAGCCAAUGGAUGGAGAAGCCAACAGACAAUAGGAGGAUUAAGGAAGGUGUCGUAGCCGGAGCUGUUGGUGAGGCCGUUGAAAGUGAUGAGGUUACUGGACUCUACCAUCUCUGAAACACACACAGAGGACAGAGCAUGGAUCUGUGGUUGGCACUAGUUACCACAGCCACAAAGUCAGAAGGCCCGCCUACUUGACCAAUCAGAUGAGG